AAAAAAGGUAAGCUACUAAGAGCGAAUGGUGGAUGCCUUGACUGGUAAAGGCGAUGAAGGACGUACUAGACUGCGAUAAGCUACGGGGAGCUGUCAAGAAGCUUUGAUCCGUAGAUUUCCGAAUGGGGCAACCCAAUGUAUAGAGAUAUACAUUACCUAUAUAGGAGCGAACGAGGGGAAUUGAAACAUCUUAGUACCCUCAGGAAAAGAAAUCAAUAGAGAUUGCGUCAGUAGCGGCGAGCGAAAGCGUAAGAGGGCAAACCCAGUGCUUGCACUGGGGGUUGUAGGACUGCAAUGUGCAAGAGGUGAGUUUAGCAGAACAUUCUGGAAAGUAUAGCCAUAGAGGGUGAUAGUCCCGUAUGCGAAAAACAAACCUUAGCUAGCAGUAUCCUGAGUAGGGCGGGACACGAGAAAUCCUGUCUGAAGCUGGGUCGACCACGAUCCAACCCUAAAUACUAAUACCAGAUCGAUAGUGCACAAGUACCGUGAGGGAAAGGUGAAAAGAACUGAGGUGAUCAGAGUGAAAUAGAACCUGAAACCAUUUGCUUACAAUCAUUCAGAGCACUAUGUAGCAAUACAGUGUGAUGGACUGCCUUUUGCAUAAUGAGCCUGCGAGUUGUGGUGUCUGGCAAGGUUAAGCAAACGCGAAGCCGUAGCGAAAGCGAGUCUGAAUAGGGCGCUUAGUCAGAUGCUGCAGACCCGAAACGAAGUGAUCUAUCCAUGAGCAAGUUGAAGCUAGUGUAAGAACUAGUGGAGGACUGAACCCAUAGGCGUUGAAAAGCCCCGGGAUGACUUGUGGAUAGGGGUGAAAGGCCAAUCAAACUUCGUGAUAGCUGGUUCUCUCCGAAAUAUAUUUAGGUAUAGCGUUGUGUCGUAAUAUAAGGGGGUAGAGCACUGAAUGGGCUAGGGCAUACACCAAUGUACCAAACCCUAUCAAACUCCGAAUACCUUAUAUGUAAUCACAGCAGUCAGGCGGCGAGUGAUAAAAUCCGUCGUCAAGAGGGAAACAACCCAGACUACCAGCUAAGGUCCCUAAAUCUUACUUAAGUGGAAAACGAUGUGAAGUUACUUAAACAACCAGGAGGUUGGCUUAGAAGCAGCCAUCCUUUAAAGAAAGCGUAAUAGCUCACUGGUCUAGUGAUUUUGCGCGGAAAAUAUAACGGGGCUAAAGUAAGUACCGAAGCUGUAGACUUGAUUUUAUCAGGUGGUAGGAGAGCGUUCUAUUUGCGCCGAAGGUAUACCGGUAAGGAGUGCUGGAGCGAAUAGAAGUGAGCAUGCAGGCAUGAGUAGCGAUAAUUAAUGUGAGAAUCAUUAACGCCGUAAACCCAAGGUUUCCUACGCGAUGCUCGUCAUCGUAGGGUUAGUCGGGUCCUAAGUCGAGUCCGAAAGGGGUAGACGAUGGCAAAUUGGUUAAUAUUCCAAUACCAACAUUAGUGUGCGAUGGAAGGACGCUUAGGGCUAAGGGGGCUAGCGGAUGGAAGUGCUAGUCUAAGGUCGUAGGAGGUUAUACAGGCAAAUCCGUAUAACAUACUCCGAGAACUGAAAGGCUUUUUGAAGUCUUCGGAUGGAUAGAAGAACCCCUGAUGCCGUCGAGCCAAGAAAAGUUUCUAAGUUUAGCUAAUGUUGCCCGUACCGUAAACCGACACAGGUGGGUGGGAUGAGUAUUCUAAGGCGCGUGGAAGAACUCUCUUUAAGGAACUCUGCAAAAUAGCACCGUAUCUUCGGUAUAAGGUGUGGUUCGCUUCGUAUUAGGAUUUACUCCGAAAGCGAAGAAACUUACAACAAAGAGUCCCUCCCGACUGUUUACCAAAAACACAGCACUCUGCUAACUCGUAAGAGGAUGUAUAGGGUGUGACGCCUGCCCGGUGCUCGAAGGUUAAUUGAUGGGGUUAGCAUUAGCGAAGCUCUUGAUCGAAGCCCGAGUAAACGGCGGCCGUAACUAUAACGGUCCUAAGGUAGCGAAAUUCCUUGUCGGUUAAAUACCGACCUGCAUGAAUGGCGUAACGAGAUGGGAGCUGUCUCAAAGAGGGAUCCAGUGAAAUUGUAGUGGAGGUGAAAAUUCCUCCUACCCGCGGCAAGACGGAAAGACCCCGUGGACCUUUACUACAGCUUGACACUGCUAUUUGGAUAAGAAUGUGCAGGAUAGGUGGGAGGCUUUGAGUAUAUGACGCCAGUUGUAUAUGAGCCAUUGUUGAGAUACCACUCUUUCUUAUUUGGGUAGCUAACCAGCUUGAGUUAUCCUCAAGUGGGACAAUGUCUGGUGGGUAGUUUGACUGGGGCGGUCGCCUCCCAAAUAAUAACGGAGGCUUACAAAGGUUGGCUCAGAACGGUUGGAAAUCGUUCGUAGAGUAUAAAGGUAUAAGCCAGCUUAACUGCAAGACAUACAAGUCAAGCAGAGACGAAAGUCGGUCUUAGUGAUCCGGUGGUUCUGUGUGGAAGGGCCAUCGCUCAAAGGAUAAAAGGUACCCCGGGGAUAACAGGCUGAUCUCCCCCAAGAGCUCACAUCGACGGGGAGGUUUGGCACCUCGAUGUCGGCUCAUCGCAUCCUGGGGCUGGAGCAGGUCCCAAGGGUAUGGCUGUUCGCCAUUUAAAGCGGUACGCGAGCUGGGUUCAGAACGUCGUGAGACAGUUCGGUCCCUAUCUGCCGUGGGCGUAAGAAGAUUGAAGAGAUUUGACCCUAGUACGAGAGGACCGGGUUGAACAAACCACUGGUGUAGCUGUUGUUCUGCCAAGAGCAUCGCAGCGUAGCUAAGUUUGGAAAGGAUAAACGCUGAAAGCAUCUAAGCGUGAAGCCAACUCUAAGAUGAAUCUUCUCUAAGCUCUCUAGAAGACUACUAGUUUGAUAGGCUGGGUGUGUAAUGGAUGAAAGUCCUUUAGCUGACCAGUACUAAUAGAGCGUUUGGCUUAUCUUUAAUAAAGCAU
RNAcentral lists this ribosomal RNA (2922 nucleotides) under Campylobacter coli. RNAcentral describes it as "23S ribosomal RNA". It matches the Rfam family "Bacterial large subunit ribosomal RNA". The record is from RNAcentral. Lineage: Bacteria; Pseudomonadati; Campylobacterota; Epsilonproteobacteria; Campylobacterales; Campylobacteraceae.